GGGCAGCUGCCGGCUUGCUCGCGUCCGCCACCCGCCCGGGACCUCCGGUCGCCGUCCAGUCGCUCAGCCAGCCACGGCGCCGGGCCCAGACUCAGGCAUUCUUGCGAUGGUUUUCCUGGUCCUGUAACCGUCAUUUCUUGCAGAGGUCUGUAGUGGUGAGAUUGGACCUCCUAACCCUACGGAUACGGAAUGCUGUGGUGAGAAGCUGGAUGAGGCCAAGAAGGAUCCUCCCCUGGAGCCUUUGGAGGAAGCAUGGCGCAGCUGACGUCUUGAUUUCACACUUCAGACCUCCUUAACGAUAAGGAAAUUGAGACUUAUGUUCAGGAACCAACAGUGACUGCCUUAAUCUACACUGAAUGGAGAAAUUAGCAGAGUCCUUAGCUUGGCAUCCAAGGCCCCUGCUUUCUGGUUCCAACUCCAUUUCUGUUCUGACUCCUCACCGGCCACUCUCUCCUCACCCUCUACUCCGUGCACAUGUCCUUCCCUCUUGAUUCCAUGCCUUCAAUCCUUUCCACUUUGCCUGUAGUCCCUUCCACUUCCUCUCUCCCUCUCCAGCUCCUUGCCCAUUUUCAUGGUUCUAACAACACCUGUGAAUUCUAUCCUGACCUCCCUGCCACCCUACCUUCUUCCUCUUCAAAAUUCUCUAGCAGGAUUCCCAGGGCACUAUCUGGGUGCUGCCCAGCUUCUAGUCCCUCAUACCUCUCCUGCGGACAUCUCCAGCCCGUGUGGCAGAACAGAGCUUGUUGGGUAAAUCCUGAGGGAAGCAGCCCAGGGGCUAUUCAGUAUGUGUGUGUGCGUGGAUAUGUGUGUGUGUGUGUGUACCCUUGGGUUCUUGAGGAGAAGAGAAUUGUGGUUUUUUUUGCUUGGCAGCUGUUCUGCAGAAGCCCUGCUAACAGAAGUUGUGUGUCUGGCAUGGCCUGUGUGACAUUUUGCCAUCAAUUAUUACCUUGUAAAAAGACCUUGUAAGUCUUUAAGGUUGGAUCCUUUCAUAAUAUUAUCUGAAUUGAAAUAGCUAGUAUAAUACCCCUAUUUGAAUGGACAACUUCUGAGAAUCAAAUAGGUUACUUCUUUUGGUAAGACUCAUAUUCUCCUAAAAUUUUUGCACUAGGAUAAACUUAGAGUAGCCUAGAAAAAGAAAAACUUGAUUCCUUGCAGGAAGAUACUGCUAACAGUGAUGUGUGCCCACAGUAACCAGUGUCUUUUCAGAUGGACUCUUCUUGCUUCACGGGCAGAGGAAUACCAAGGCUUCCUUGGUAACAAUAAUGACAGAUCAGUCAUCUUGUAUUUACCUUUGCUCCUCUGUCUAAAAUUGUAUUUACCUUGUCAAUAGAUGAUCUAAGUUAUUUUCCUCUACCUUAGUAUGUUGUGAUUGUAAUAAUUACUCUUAGUGCAGGUUGCAUUUAUUUAUUUAAUUCUUACAAAAGUUUCAGAAUUGGGAUAUGUGGGUCCAGAUAAAGCGUGAACUCUAAGGUACAUAGUAUAAGAAACAUAAAUUAUGCUUCUGUUUAUACUUUCACUCUCAUAAAUUAUUUUUAUUUGUCUUUCUAUCUUGGGUAUCAUAAAUGUGUUCAUUUAAACUCUGAGUAAAUGGAUACAUUAUAUUUGAUAGCAUAGCAUAGUUUAUUCCCUCAUAGUAACUUGAAGGUAAUUCAUUUGAAGUUGUUGACAUUAAUGAAAGAUAGUUUAUAGAAAUGAAGACUCAUUUGCUUUAAUGUCAGUGUUGCUUCAUGGCUGGUAACAAGC
Molecule: long non-coding RNA, 1743 nt
Organism: Ailuropoda melanoleuca (giant panda)
Lineage: Eukaryota; Metazoa; Chordata; Mammalia; Carnivora; Ursidae
Exons: 4
Source: RefSeq, a predicted model, not a curated record